RNAcentral lists this ribosomal RNA (497 nucleotides) under uncultured bacterium. RNAcentral's name for it is "partial 16S ribosomal RNA". It matches the Rfam family "Bacterial small subunit ribosomal RNA", at positions 28 to 507 of the family's 1533-position model. The record is from RNAcentral.
GAUGAACGCUGGCGGCGUGCCUAAUACAUGCAAGUCGAGCGAACGGACGCGAAGCUUGCUUCUCUGAUGUUAGCGGCGGACGGGUGAGUAAAACGUGGAUAACCUACCUAUAAGACUGGGAUAACUUCGGGAAACCGGAGCUAAUACCGGAUAAUAUUUUGAACCGCAUGGUUCAAAAGUGAAAGACGGUCUUGCUGUCACUUCUAGAUGUAUCCGCGCUGCAUUAGCUAGUUGGUAAGGUAACGGCUUACCAAGGCAACGAUGCAUAGCCGACCUGAGAGGGUGAUCGGCCACACUGGAACUGAGACACGGUCCAGACUCCUACGGGAGGCAGCAGUAGGGAAUCUUCCGCAAUGGGCGAAAGCCUGACGGAGCAACGCCGCGUGAGUGAUGAAGGUCUUCGGAUCGUAAAACUCUGUUAUGAGGGAAGAACAUAUGUGUAAGUAACUGUGCACAUCUUGACGGUACCUAAUCAGAAAGCCACGGCUAACUACGUG